AACGAACGCUGGCGGCAUGCCUAACACAUGCAAGUCGAACGAGACCUUCGGGUCUAGUGGCGCACGGGUGCGUAACGCGUGGGAAUCUGCCCUUGGGUUCGGAAUAACAGCGAGAAAUUGCUGCUAAUACCGGAUGAUGACGUAAGUCCAAAGAUUUAUCGCCCAAGGAUGAGCCCGCGUAGGAUUAGCUAGUUGGUGAGGUAAAGGCUCACCAAGGCGACGAUCCUUAGCUGGUCUGAGAGGAUGAUCAGCCACACUGGGACUGAGACACGGCCCAGACUCCUACGGGAGGCAGCAGUGGGAAUAUUGGACAAAUGGGCGAAAGCCUGAUCCAGCAAUGCCGCGUGAGUGAUGAAGGCC
RNAcentral lists this ribosomal RNA (360 nucleotides) under uncultured bacterium. RNAcentral's name for it is "bacterial SSU rRNA". It matches the Rfam family "Bacterial small subunit ribosomal RNA", at positions 29 to 416 of the family's 1533-position model. The record is from RNAcentral.